Molecule: ribosomal RNA, 431 nt
Filed under: uncultured bacterium
Lineage: Bacteria
Description: partial 16S ribosomal RNA
Rfam family: Bacterial small subunit ribosomal RNA
Source: RNAcentral
AACGAACGCUGGCGGCAGGCUUAACACAUGCAAGUCGAGCGCCUCGCAAGAGGUGCGGCAGACGGGUGAGUAACGCGUGGGAACGUACCCUUAUCUUCGGAAUAGCUCUGGGAAACUGGAAGUAAUACCGAAUGUGCCCUUAGGGGGGAAGAUUUAUCGGAUAAGGAUCGGCCCGCGUUGGAUUAGCUAGUGGGUGGGGUAAAGGCCUACCAAGGCGACGAUCCAUAGCUGGUCUGAGAGGAUGAUCAGCCACAUUGGGACUGAGACACGGCCCAAACUCCUACGGGAGGCAGCAGUGGGGAAUAUAGGACAAUGGGCGCAAGCCUGAUCCAGCCAUGCCGCGUGAGUGAGGAAGGCCGUAGGGUUGUAAAGCUCUUUCACCGGAGAAGAUAAUGACGGUAUCCGGAGAAGAAGCCCCGGCUAACUUCGUG